UUUGGUUGAAAUUCACCAAUGUUUGGGUGUAUAGUACCACUGCUAUACCUAGUAGACCGGUUAAACAAAAUAAAAAAUUGUCAGUUAUAUAUUCUGGUGAAAUUAACCAAUUUUUAAGUGUAUAGUAUCACUGCUAUACCUAGUAGGCCGGU
This is a long non-coding RNA of Bufo bufo (common toad), 152 nucleotides long. RefSeq lists it as uncharacterized. The transcript is spliced from 2 exons. NCBI's taxonomy places the organism in Eukaryota, Metazoa, Chordata, Amphibia, Anura, Bufonidae. The record is from RefSeq and is a predicted model, not a curated record.